Molecule: long non-coding RNA, 852 nt
Organism: Plutella xylostella (diamondback moth)
Lineage: Eukaryota; Metazoa; Arthropoda; Insecta; Lepidoptera; Plutellidae
Source: RefSeq, a predicted model, not a curated record
AUGCCUGGGGCGCGAUUCACAUCUCAACCGAAAUAUUUGUAAAGCGAUACGAACGAGUUACGAGAUGAAAUCCGCAAUGUUUAAAAACGCGAUUCAUAGCACACAUACUUUGAUCUCGUUUUCAUAUCGCUAGUUCGUAUUUGGAUGGCUUGAGUGAAAUGAAUGAAACUAUAUUUUUUUUAAUUGCCAUGCAAAAAUUAUAAAUACUACCACUAAUUGUUUUCAAUAAUUUUGUUCCUACAAUAUAUUUUGUUGGAAUUAGUGUCGAUAGCAAGUAUCAAGAAACAGCUUUUUAAUUCAACGUUGAAGAAAUUCAUAACCUGUGGCACUUUUGACAGCCGCCAUGUUUUCUCCAUAAAAACAUUGAUUUUCUUUGCUCAUUUUCGUGUCAACGUAGUUUUUUUGGAAAAUAAGAAGAAAGGAAGUUUAACUUACUUAGAGAAAUACGACUGAGACAUAAACACAAGCAGCAGCCGAUGUGCUUGAGUAGCAGAAGGAGCAACUGCGUUGUGAGAGGGCCACGGCUUCAGCCCUCACAAUGAUAGCUGAUUAGCUGAAGUAAUUAACAGACAGGCUGCAGUCAAUGAGAGGCUUCUUGAGGAGGGGUUCCUCAUAUGGAAAAAGAUUUUAGCGGCGACGCAGUUGCGCGACCAGUGAAGCUCUGGCUCCGCGACCGGCGUGGAGCGCGCGGUCCCGCGGCGCUGCUGCGGCUGCUGCGCGGGAGGGUCCCGUCCCUGCGCAUGCGCCUGGCCUUCAAUGACCUCACGCCUCUCUUCUUCCUCUUCUUCAUGCGUCAAUUCAAACAGAGGAGCACCUGUGAUUACUGAUUACCUAAGUUCCUAUAUACAAUAA